This 253-nucleotide ribosomal RNA is filed under the name uncultured bacterium. RNAcentral describes it as "partial 16S ribosomal RNA". It matches the Rfam family "Bacterial small subunit ribosomal RNA", at positions 524 to 776 of the family's 1533-position model. The record is from RNAcentral.
GACGAACCGAGCGAACGUUGUUCGGAAUCACUGGGCUUAAAGGGCGCGUAGGCGGGUGCUCAAGUCCGGGGUGAAAUCCUCCAGCUCAACUGGAGAACUGCCUCGGAUACUGGGUGCCUCGAGUGUGGUAGGGGUGUGCGGAACUAUCGGUGGAGCGGUGAAAUGCGUUGAUAUCGAUAGGAACUCCGGUGGCGAAGGCGGCACACUGGACCACAACUGACGCUGAGACGCGAAAGCGUGGGGAGCAAACAGG